Long non-coding RNA from Centruroides sculpturatus (bark scorpion), 383 nucleotides. RefSeq lists it as uncharacterized. The transcript has 3 exons. The record is from RefSeq and is a predicted model, not a curated record. NCBI's taxonomy places the organism in Eukaryota, Metazoa, Arthropoda, Arachnida, Scorpiones, Buthidae.
CGAACAUUUUUUAUUUUUAUUUUUUAUUAUAUUUAUUUACGGAAUUUCGGGAAUGCACGUGAUUCACAUUAACGUUGAAUUUUGACUUUUGAAAUGUUGUUCGGUAGAAUAAUUUUUCGAAUAUCGCUAUUUACUGGUCUUCGUUCAUGGUUAUUUUAAAGACGAAUCGCUGCUUGAGAAAGGUCCUAGGGAAGGAACCGAAAACGUUCGCAGUAUAUUUUACGAUUAUUUAAUACCGGUUAUUGGUUUUAGCAGCUUGUCAGUUCUCCUUGCAUAAAAUUCGGUGAUUUCAAAUCAACAAAACAGUCUUUACGGGCAGAGUCAACUUUUUAAUUCAGGCUUCUCAUCUACCUUAUUAUUUUGUUGCUGGAAGUAAUGGUCCA